This is a long non-coding RNA of Neltuma alba, 1213 nucleotides long. RefSeq lists it as uncharacterized. The transcript is spliced from 2 exons. The record is from RefSeq and is a predicted model, not a curated record. Lineage: Eukaryota; Viridiplantae; Streptophyta; Magnoliopsida; Fabales; Fabaceae.
GAAGAACAGUGAACCCAAGUUCUGCAAAGAUCAGCAUAACUAUUUUUUCAUAAGUCUAGAUAGUUAACUAGGAAAUUAAAUAACAUGAAAAAGAAUAUUAAACUUGAUCCUGCAACCGUGCAAAGUACUUCCUGAACAAACAAGAUAACAAAAAAUGAAAACAUUCAUUUACGAAUAUGGUUGCCUCUAAUGAACAAAGUAUAUGCCUUGAUGAAAUGUCGUGAAAUCAAUUUUUUGAAAAUAGUGGUACAGUAACUUUCCCCUUUGGUAUUGACCAGAAAGAAAAAUUCCCUUUGGUGAAAUGGAACAGCUUUUUGCCGACAGCAUUUCUUACGGUGUAAUUAGUGAUGCUGAAAGAAUAUGUGAUAGAAAAGCGAAAACAACGUAAUUUUACUAACAAUCAACAAAGGUUACAUACGUCCGUUAGUAGUUUCUCAGCGGUUAAAAAUGCAAGGCAAUGUACUACUAAAGGCGUUGAAAGAUGAAGCUGCGUCAAGGGAAAAAAAUAACCAAUCAAUUUGACAGGAACAUAAAGUAGACAUAAUGUACUAAUCGUUGCAGGUUUUCUGUAAUGAAACAUUAUAAAACCAAAUGACAUAUCAUUUAAAUCCGUAUGCAUCAGUUAUUGGCAUGAUGAUCCUUCACCAGAUAGCUGUGAGAUAUUUCACGAAGAAAAUAUGUUAUCACCGACAGCAAUAUCGUACGAAAACGAUGUCGGCAAAUCAAGUUUACCAUCCUGAAAAUCGUACUGUGAUUUUUGCGCAAAAAGUUUUACUGGGAACCUAAACAAAUAGCUCUGAAUUAUUCAAGAAGACACAAGCACCAUCGCGUACUUCAUUAACACCAGAGACUCAGAGGUCAUUUCAGUGAAAGAAUUAAUAACUCCGAAAUGACUGUACAACGUUUAAAAGAACGUUAACAUCAGGAUAAUACAAGCAGCUACAACAGAGUUCAGGACUUCCAAAGGACUGGUAGGACCAAAAACGAAGUAAAUUAAAGCAUGUCCUCAAACCAAAGUAGCAAUUUCCUAAAAGCCACAAGAUCUGCCGCAUAUAAGAACUUGGAGAUAGUUAACACUACUUCGUCACUCAAUGUCCGAAAUAAGAGUACACAUGCUCGUCAGGAGCUAGAUCUAACGUUUACCCGGUAAAUGCUGAACCUCUUCACCUCAAAUCUAACCAUACCAUGAAACAGAGAGAGCUUGAAAACCAAG